GCCCGCUUAGCUCAGAGGUUAGAGCAUCACAUUUGUAAUGCGAUGGUCAUCGGUUCAAUUCCGAUAGCCGGCU
This 73-nucleotide transfer RNA is filed under the name Cystorchis variegata. RNAcentral describes it as "tRNA-Thr". It matches the Rfam family "tRNA". Rfam says of the family: Transfer RNA (tRNA) molecules are approximately 80 nucleotides in length. Their secondary structure includes four short double-helical elements and three loops (D, anti-codon, and T loops). Lineage: Eukaryota; Viridiplantae; Streptophyta; Magnoliopsida; Asparagales; Orchidaceae. The record is from RNAcentral.